RNAcentral lists this transfer RNA (86 nucleotides) under Colletotrichum fioriniae. RNAcentral describes it as "tRNA-Ser". It matches the Rfam family "tRNA". From Rfam's summary of the family: Transfer RNA (tRNA) molecules are approximately 80 nucleotides in length. Their secondary structure includes four short double-helical elements and three loops (D, anti-codon, and T loops). Further hydrogen bonds mediate the characteristic L-shaped molecular structure. tRNAs have two regions of fundamental functional importance: the anti-codon, which is responsible for specific mRNA codon recognition, and the 3' end, to which the tRNAs corresponding amino acid is attached (by aminoacyl-tRNA synthetases). tRNAs cope with the degeneracy of the genetic code in two manners: having more than one tRNA (with a specific anti-codon) for a particular amino acid; and 'wobble' base-pairing, i.e. permitting non-standard base-pairing at the 3rd anti-codon position. Lineage: Eukaryota; Fungi; Ascomycota; Sordariomycetes; Glomerellales; Glomerellaceae. The record is from RNAcentral.
AGAGAAUUGACUGAGUGGUUUAAAGUGUCGGCCUUGAGUUCCGAUAUGGGAUUGCCCCAUCAUGGGUUCGAAUCCCAUAUUCUCUG